RNAcentral lists this long non-coding RNA (3782 nucleotides) under Sus scrofa (pig). Its description in RNAcentral is "lncRNA (ENSSSCG00015078588.1)". The record is from RNAcentral. Lineage: Eukaryota; Metazoa; Chordata; Mammalia; Artiodactyla; Suidae.
GGGGGGUCUUUUGUCUUUUUAGGGCCGCACCCACGGCAUAUGGAGGUUCCCAGGCUAGGGGUCCAAUUGGAUCUGUAGCUGCCGGCCUAAGCCACAGCCGCAGCAAUGCAGGAUCUAAGCUACACCUGCGACCUACACCACAGCUCACAGCAACGCCGGAUCCUUAACCCACUGAGGCCAGGGAUUGAACCCGCAACCUCAUGGUUCCUAGUCGGAUUUGUUUCCACUGCACCACAAUGGGAACUCCAUAUACAUAUUUUUAUAAAUGCAUAAACUGUCUAGAAUAUAUAACAAACUAGUAAAGGCAUCUACUUUCUACAAAAGUUACUGCUGCGGAAUAGAACAAGGUCACUGAGGGACGGGUUCAAGUUGGACAUUAAGUUUUCAAUGUAUAUCCUUGUGUAUCUUUUGGAUGUUGAACUGUGGGCAUCUGUUACCUACUCAAAGUAAGUGAAAAAUUUUUUAAAAAGAAAAUAUGCAUUUUACCAUACUCCAGUCAAAAAUUUUUCAUUUGUAGAGUUCUCAUCAUGGCUAAGUGGAAGCAAAUCUGACUAGCAUCCAUGAGGACACAGGUUCAAUCUCUGGCCUUGCACAGUGGGUUAAGGAUCUGGUGUUGCUGUGAGCUGUGGUGUAGGUUGCAGACUCGGCUUGGAUCUGAUGUUGCUGUGGCUGUGGUGUAGGCUGGCAGCUACAGCUCACAUUUGGCCCCUAGCCUGGGAACCUUCAUGUUCCACAGGUGCAGCUCUAAAAAGACCAAAAAAAAUCUUUUUUUUUUCAUUUGUGGCAUUAUUGAACUACUUAUUUCCUUUCAUUAUUUGUACGUUAUACAUAUUUUAUGUAAUUAUAAUAAGAGAAUUUCUUAUUAAGAUAACCUUUUCACGUCCCUGUCGUCUUCAAAACUAUUUAAAAAGUUUUUCAUAGUAUUUUGUUUAGUUCAUGUACCAGAAUUUUCUUAUCUUUUCUCCAAUGUUGGUCAUUUAUAUAUUUACAUAUUUCCUUAUUAUGUGUAACAUAGUGGUGAGUGUCUUUGUGAAUGUAUAUCCAUUUUGGUAUCUAUAAUCAGCUCUAAUGCUUUGUGGUUAUUUGGUAAGGCUACAUGAAAAUAAAAUAAGCAUUACAUGGAGUAGAGAAAAGGUCAGAAAUGGUUGUAGAUGAUUCUUUGAGAUGCCCAGGAUAAGCACAGUGAUUUUCAUUCAUUCUAACAUUUGUCUAUACGGGUAAAACAAACAGUUGUUGCUCUUUAAAUAUACAUACGGUGAAAAUUGAACUCAUAGGAAAUAAUGCACUUAAAGAAUCAUUAAUUAUUACCUAAUUACUUGCACCACUGUGGCAUGGACAGAAGAGUGCUCUGCGAUGAUGAAGUUGUCAAUUACAGUUGAUAAUUAAGGGGCCAGGUGCAUGUUUAACUUAACAAGAUAAAUAUCUGCCCAGAUGUUGUUUGUCUGCCGCUUCAUUACCAGGUAGGUUAGAAGAUUUUAAUAAACUAGAAAGACUAUUAAAUUCAUAACCCUGCUACAUCAAGAAAUCUUUAACAAAUCUGUUACUAUAGCCAAUAUUCAUUUAGGUAGGCUGUUCAUCAGCCUUCCUGCAGAGCUGAAGUAAGUAUGUGUAUGUAAUACCAUAUUUGCAGAUUCUCAGUGAAACGGCUCUUUGAAUAUAAGAUAGGGCUAAAAUAUGACAGUACUGGAGACUAAGGAAGAUGCUUUCCGGUGCCGGACUGAAGGAACGUCACAUGAGAUUUAAAUGGCAGAUUGAAAGAAGACAACAGAGAGUCAGUCAGGACGAUUCCAAGAAACCCAAGCCCAUCAGAGGUACGAGCUGAAGAUGCUGGCCCAGUGGUGUCCUAGUUGAAGGGGAGAGGUGGCGGGGGGGGAUUGCCAGCAGGUAACAGGGAAAUUGGGUCAUAUCCCUCCUUGGGUUGGUUUACCUGGUCCUCCACAACACAGUAGCACAGAGUGUGUGGCUCAGACAGCAGAGAUGGAUUUUCUCAGAGUUCUGGAGGCUGAAAGUCCAAGAUUGAGUACCAGCAGGGCUGCUUUCUCCUGAGACCUCUCCUUGGCUUGCAGAGAGCUGCCUCUGCCUGUGUCCUCACCUGGCGUUUUCUGUGUGUGUGUCCAUCUCAGGGAGCUCUUGCUCUUCUUGUAAGGACACCAGUCAUCUUGGAUUAGGGUCCCACCCUUAUUUCAGUUAGUAUUAAUUACCUCUUUAAAGAACGCUAUUUCUACAUACAGUCACGUUUGUUGUUUCAACAUGUAAAUUUGGGAGGGGACAUGAUUCAGUCUAUAACACUUCUCUCUUUAAAAGUCUUCAAAGGCCUUAAAAUGGCCUAAAAGCUCCCCCCACCCCCCAGUACAGUCCGGUUCAGUGUUGCCUCUCGAACGUUUUCUCCUAACACUCCUCACCUUGGUAUGUUCCCCUCCAGCCACACUGAUCCUCCUACUGUAUCUCUGACACCAAGCAUACCCCUGGUCAAGGCCUUCGAGCAGUGAUGCUCAGUCCCUGGGAUGCUUUGCCUGCAGAGGGCCCCAUAGCUAGUUCCCUCCCUGCUUGCAAGGUCCCUGUCCAGAGAGCUCCUUGCCAAAGAAGCCUUUUCUGACCAGCACAUGCAACACAGAACUCACUGUCUCUUGCGUUUCUUUACAGAACUUUAUGAUCUUUUUCCAUAACACUUAACAUCUUGCAAUAAAUAUACUUUUUGCUCAUUUCCAAUGUGUUCCUAGUAGAUUUAGGCAGUGAUUUACAUGAGCUCAGGGGCUUUUUCUGUUUCUGUUACUGUUACAGUAGCUAUAAAGAGAAGACAUGACUUAACAAAAGAAAGACAAUCCCAUUGAUAGGAGGUGUUAGCAGCAAUCAUCGAAGACAGAAGACAAUGGAAUAAUGUUUUUAGUUGGUUGAUAGAAAAUAAUGAUGAACUUAGAAAAUUAUCGUGCAAGACAUUUUCAAGUAAACCAAAACAGAAGUAAAUUACAUUUAAAAGACAUUCUUUAAAGGAACAUUGGUUCAUGUAGAAGAACAAUGAUCACAGAAGGUCCUUGAUCUAAGAUGCAAGGAGGAAAGGUAAGAAAUACAUACAUAUUUAAAUUUAUAAAUCUAAGCAAAUAUUAUUUAAAUAAACAUUAAUGUUUAGUUUAUGGAGUUUAAGAAAAGGGAAUUAAAAUAUAAAUGUAAAUAGGAGUGAAGAUUCCAAACCAGUAGAGGAGCAAAAAUGAGUAUGGGGUUCCUCUUCAAGUGUGAUGCUGAUGCUGAUUGGGGUGGUGCCUGAAUCCAUAGCAUGACCUCUGGGAGAAAGAAGCUGGCUUUGGAUAAGUCUCUUCUUGUUUUAGGGAUCAGCAUUUUACCAAUAUAUUUCCUCAUGUUUAAAACAAAACCCAACUCUAAUGAAGAUUAAUUUGCAUACCUCCUUGUAGUUUGCUAGGGCCCUUUGCCAUCCUUUUUUUCUAUUAUCGUAAUACAGUCUUAUUGUAAAAAUGCAAAUAAUGCAGAAUUUAUGACAGAAAGUGAAAGUUUCUUUCAUUUAAAAAAAAUUACUCUUUGUUGGGUACUUACCAUGUCCCUUCUAUGUCGUACACAUGCCCUCAUUCCUUUCUUGCAACAACUCUAUAAAUGGCCAUUAUUAUCCCUUUUUUGUGUAUAACUGAAAUGAGGCACACAGAUUACAUCAUCUUUCCAGAAGAUAAAAAAAAAUCAUUCUCUUAAUCACUGCGCUGGACCGCCUUUAAUUCUUGCAUCGUUGACUUGGUUCGCUCGCUUUGGCUCUAUCCAUGAAGGUCUUUGCUCCACGU